This 431-nucleotide ribosomal RNA is filed under the name uncultured bacterium. RNAcentral describes it as "bacterial SSU rRNA". It matches the Rfam family "Bacterial small subunit ribosomal RNA", at positions 354 to 777 of the family's 1533-position model. The record is from RNAcentral.
GUUAGGAAUAUUCGUCAAUGGGGGAAACCCUGAACGAGCAAUGCCGCGUGAGUGAUGACGGUCCUCUGGAUUGUAAAACUCUGUUGUUUAGGAAAAAUUGUAUAAGUAGGAAAUGACUUAUACUUGAUGGUACUAUUCAAGAAAGCCACGGCUAACUACGUGCCAGCAGCCGCGGUAAUACGUAGGUGGCGAGCGUUAUCCGGAUUUAUUGGGCGUAAAGCGUCCGCAGACGGUUUGUUAAGUCUAGAAUCAAAGCCCGGAGCUUAACUUCGGUUCGUUCUAGAAACUGGCAGGCUUGAGUAUAGUAGAGGCAAGUGGAAUUUCUAGUGUAGCGGUAGAAUGCGUAGAUAUUAGAAGGAACACCAGUGGCGAAGGCGACUUGCUGGGCUAUUACUGACGUUCAUGGACGAAAGCGUGGGGAGCAAAUAGGA